Molecule: ribosomal RNA, 1333 nt
Filed under: Neocaridina denticulata sinensis
Lineage: Eukaryota; Metazoa; Arthropoda; Malacostraca; Decapoda; Atyidae
Description: 16S ribosomal RNA
Rfam family: Bacterial large subunit ribosomal RNA (bases 869-1266)
Source: RNAcentral
AAAAAUAAUUAUUAGAGUUUCUUUAAAAUUGUUUCUUACCUUUAUUUACAGAUAAAAAAUAUUUUGAAUAAAAAAUUAAAUUUUUUAAGAAUAAGUAAAAUAAUGAACAUUUAAUUUAGGUUAUAGCUUAGUUAGUACCGUAGGGGAUCGUUAUAAUUUUAGUGAAAAGAAAAAUUUAAUUUUUGUACCUUUUGUAUCAGGGAUAUUCAAAAUAAUCAGUUUAUUUAUUGGCAUCUCGAAGUGGAAUGAGCGAUUAUACUAUAAUUGUUUAUGUAAAAAAAUAAAAUUAUUAAUAGUGUAUUAGUGGUGAUACGCCAGUCGAUUUCCAUCUAUCUAGUUUUUUUUGAAACGAAUUUAAUUCGAUCUUUUAUUUUAAUAAAUAAAAGUUAGAUUUUAAGGGGGAUGAGCUUCUUAAAUAGUGUAAGGUUAAAAAUGAAAUAUAUCUUUUAUUUAGGCUUAAGAUCAGCUAUAAUUUUAAAUCGUUUUAGAUAAUAAGUUUACAGGCAACUAUUUAUAUAUUUACUUACAUUAAUAAAAAAAAAAUUAUUUUAAUUUAUUUUAUAAUUUUAAAAUGAUUAUAUUAGUAGAUGAUGUUUUGUGUAAAAAAUAAUUUAAACUUUUAAAUUUGAUUUUACUUUAUGGUGAAGCUAUGGUUAAAGAACUCGGCAAAUUUUACCUCUGCCUGUUUAUCAAAAACAUGUCUGUGUGAACAUAUAUGCGCAGUCUGGCCUGCCCCCUGAAAAUUUUAAAGGGCCGCGGUAUUUGAACCGUGCUAAGGUAGCAUAAUAAAUAGUCUUUUAAUUGAGGUCUAGUAUGAAUGGUCGGACAGGAGGUAAGCUGUUUUAAUUGUAGAUUUUGAAUUUUACUUUUAAGUGAAAAGGCUUAAAUUAAAUAAUGGGACGAUAAGACCCUAUAAAGCUUUACAUUUUAUUUAUUAGUCGGAAAAUUUAUGGUUUUUUAUUCUUGUUAGAUAAAGGUGUUUCGUUGGGGCGACGAAAAUAUAAAAUAAUAACUGUUUUAAUAUAAAAAUAUAUUUUUAUAGGAGUAUUGAUCCUUUUUAGAGAUUAAAAGAAUUAAGUUACUUUAGGGAUAACAGCGUAAUUUUUCUUGAGAGUUCAUAUCGACAGAAAUAGUUGCGACCUCGAUGUUGAAUUAAGAUUUCUUCAAGAUGUAGCAGUUUUGGUGGUAGGUCUGUUCGACCUUUAAAAUCUUACAUGAUUUGAGUUCAGACCGGCGUAAGCCAGGUUAGUUUCUAUCUUUUAUUUGUUAAAAAGUUACUUUAGUACGAAAGGAGAGGGUAGCUGGAAUAUUUUUUUUAAAAAGAUGAACGGUA